Malania oleifera is the source of this 123-nucleotide small nucleolar RNA. Lineage: Eukaryota; Viridiplantae; Streptophyta; Magnoliopsida; Santalales; Ximeniaceae. The record is from RefSeq and is a predicted model, not a curated record.
ACCAAUUCUGGGGGAUAAAUGGUUCCUCCUGGUAUAAUGGCUUGGGCGCUAUAACAAAUCUGUGGCUAUCCUGAUCUGUGGUUUUCUCAGUGCCAUUAGAUCCUGGAAACACCUCAUACAUAU